Molecule: long non-coding RNA, 1233 nt
Organism: Poecilia latipinna (sailfin molly)
Lineage: Eukaryota; Metazoa; Chordata; Actinopteri; Cyprinodontiformes; Poeciliidae
Exons: 2
Source: RefSeq, a predicted model, not a curated record
ACAUUCAAACCGAACCAGAUUUCACUUCAAACGGACCCAGACCGAGGUUUGGAGGACCAGAGGUCAGAGGUCAACUAGCAUUCACACCAACCGGGCCAAACUUUAUAGCAAACAGACCGGAGUCGGGUUGAACCGGACCGAACUGGGCUGGUGGGAAUGUAAACAACGUCAGACCUGAAAUCAGUGGAGAACCUGCGGGCCGAGCUGAGCAGAACCAGAACUCUGGACCGGUACAGGAGUCCGGCUGCACUUAGGGAACAUCUGGAGCUGCAGCUCUUCUCUCCAACUGAAAACUUUUCAGUCUCUUUGUGGGCAAAGCAGAGAAGCGGAGAAAGCAGAAGGAGCGAAGCGUGACUCACAUGAUGACAGCGAGGAGCUGCAGAACCUCCGGUUCCGACCCGCUUCACAAACCGCACAGCGCCGACGGGUCAGGAACCCGGCUGAGUCAGAACCACGCAGCAACACGGAGCAACAAGCAGAGGAAGUAAAAUAUUUACAAAGCAGAGCGGAUCGUAAAACUACUGAACUACGGAAGCUGACCAGAGGAUUUAUGUCGCAAACUACGGAACAAUAAACUGCAAAUGGUGAAUCGUGCUGUAAACACAAAAUAUGCUGCAAGCAGUUAAAAUUAUGGAAAUUCACGUGGGACAUAUAUCAGCUCUUUUACCGCGCAUAUGGCUAAAAAUUCCUGCAAGAAAUGCUGGUUUAUGGCUUAGAACAGCAAAAAAUAAUUUCUACGAGUGUCGACGUUCAAAACAGCGUUGAGUGACCAAAAUAAACGUUGUAAUUUUUGCAGUUGUUUUGAGUAGAUUUUUGUCAUAUCUUACAUCCAUUAUUUUGGCAUAACUUUUUAGCCAGGUGGUAAAUGUUUGGCCCUCAUGGCUCUCCAUAUAAAACACACAGAAAGCUGCAAACGCAUGACUGAUGCAAACUCCAACUCACCAAAGACAAAAGCAAACAAAAGCAAAGAGCAAACAAAAGCGUUGCCAUCACCAUAAGAUGAAAUGUUGCAAAAACCGGAAGUUUAAAACGCUGCAACUGGAUCCAGAAACAGAGGAAGUCCUCCAGACCACCAGGGGGCGCCCAGACCCCCACUGAAGACUUGGGCGUCCAGGAGAAAGGAGUUAGGCUUCAUGUUUUACUGAAGGACAUUUUUCAGCUCUGAUGUGUUUUUUACCUUGGUAGAAAAUAAAAUCCUCACCUGCUGGCCUCUGGUUCAACAAAAACCCAGUU